ACGCUCGCUUCGGCAGCACGUGUACUAAAAUUGGAAUGAUACAGAGAAGAUUCGCAUGGCCCCUGUGCAAGGAUGACACGCAGAUUCAUGAAGCAUUCCAUGAAUUU
This 107-nucleotide small nuclear RNA is filed under the name Jaculus jaculus (lesser Egyptian jerboa). Lineage: Eukaryota; Metazoa; Chordata; Mammalia; Rodentia; Dipodidae. The record is from RNAcentral.